GUGAGGAAUAUUGGUCAAUGGGCGGGAGCCUGAACCAGCCAAGUCUCGUGAAGGAAGAAGGAUCUAUGGUUCGUAAACUUCUUUUGCAGGGGAAUAAAGUGCAGGACGUGUCCUGUUUUGUAUGUACCCUGAGAAUAAGGAUCGGCUAACUCCGUGCCAGCAGCCGCGGUAAUACGGAGGAUCCGAGCGUUAUCCGGAUUUAUUGGGUUUAAAGGGUGCGUAGGUGGUUUGCUAAGUCAGCGGUGAAAGUUUGCAGCUUAACUGUAAAAAUGCCGUUGAAACUGUCGGACUUGAGUGUAAAUGAGGUAGGCGGAAUGCGUGGUGUAGCGGUGAAAUGCAUAGAUAUCACGCAGAACUCCGAUUGCGAAGGCAGCUUACUAAGCUACAACUGACACUGAAGCACGAAAGCGUGGGGAUCAAACAGGAUUAGAAACCCGGGUAGUCC
Molecule: ribosomal RNA, 445 nt
Filed under: uncultured bacterium
Lineage: Bacteria
Description: partial 16S ribosomal RNA
Rfam family: Bacterial small subunit ribosomal RNA
Source: RNAcentral